Molecule: long non-coding RNA, 1045 nt
Filed under: Coturnix japonica (Japanese quail)
Lineage: Eukaryota; Metazoa; Chordata; Aves; Galliformes; Phasianidae
Description: lncRNA (ENSCJPG00005005491.1)
Source: RNAcentral
AUAGAAAGAACUUUCCACAAUGAGGCACACAUGUGACACCCCAAGGCUCAUAAACAACAAUUGCUACAGGAUAAACCUAUUUCCAGGGUCUGCAAACUCCUCCCCGCAGCUGGUAGAACCCUGGUUUUCUACGUUGUGAUUCAGACCUUCAGUAAGAUCCUUGGUGUGUUUGAUGUGUUAAAGACCUGUCAGUGAAAACUGCAGCAAUACAGAAGGUGGGAAUAGGAGACCUCUGCAAAAUAAUGACAGAUCUGCUUGGAAAAAUUACCUAAUGGGAUGCACUUGGGCUGUCUGGAUCUAUAUCAAGCCCAUUGCCCUUGAAAACAGCAUCAGCUGCGCCUCCCUGGGAGCAAGUGGAGUCUCUCAGACUACAAAGGAAUCUGGAAGGAUUUGAUAGCUGAGGCUUUUCUUGUCGCAAGAACAAAGGGUAAGUAGCUAUCUCUUUCAGCAGCCUAGAGAGGCUUCUAGCCAAGGCUGAGAGAUUAAGAGAAGCUACCUGGCAGGCAAGUUGGCUUUUAAAGGGAAAAAACAGGCUUUUAAGCUUUUGAGACAAGGGAGAGCUGAGCUGAACGCACAGGGAACAGCGAGCAAAGCAGAGGUGUUUUAUAUGCUCUCCUGGUUGCAAGGGUAAUGGAGUAGGAAAGAAUUGGCAAAACCCCCUUGUUUUUCUUUUUUGGACCCUUGUAGCAUAACAAGUAAAUGUUAUGUAGUACAGGCAUGUUUUAAUUGCUCUUGAUUGCUUCCAACUCACUUGCUGUCUCAGCUAUUUCAGCUGCAAUGAGGAGUUUACCUCUCUAAGUGACCUCAGUUUCCUCUGCUUCCACCUUCAUUAGUACAUAAAUAUUUCAGAGAAGAGCACAAAGCCCAGGUAUCCUACAGCUGCGGGGACGGAUAUAAGCUCAGAAGUGCCUGAGUAACUUUUCCAUAAGCCCAAUUUACUUUGAGCUGUGUGCUGCAAAGUCACUCGGUGCCCUCAGAGCUCAGUGCAGUGAUGUCUGUGCACAAGGUCAGAGGGAGCUGCAGCUCUCAGGGACAGCUGCCUUUG